Pelobates cultripes (western spadefoot toad) is the source of this 227-nucleotide non-coding RNA. The record is from the annotation of a GenBank genome assembly. NCBI's taxonomy places the organism in Eukaryota, Metazoa, Chordata, Amphibia, Anura, Pelobatidae.
GUCGUGAUCUGCUUCUAUUUGGGCCAUGCGGUCUGCCAUCCCCUGAAUGUCUGCCCUCAUCAGCUGCAGGUCUGACUUGAUAGAGGACUGGAGGGCUGAGGUGGCUUGGGUGAGGUCUGCCCGCGUGGGUAGAGCCCUUAGCAGGGCCAUCCAGUCUGCAGGGGGGGUUUCCCCUGUGUCCUCCCGGGCUGGGGAGAGGGAGUGUGGCGUGGAGGCCUCAGAUGGCG